GACCACUCCUUCGGAGUUAAGGCCACGGACAGCCGGGUCCACUGCCGA
This 48-nucleotide small RNA is filed under the name uncultured Saccharofermentans sp. RNAcentral describes it as "Streptococcus sRNA SpF59 (ldcC RNA)". It matches the Rfam family "Streptococcus sRNA SpF59 (ldcC RNA)". The record is from RNAcentral. Lineage: Bacteria; Bacillati; Bacillota; Clostridia; Eubacteriales; Oscillospiraceae.